CAAUGGCAUCAUGAGCGGGGUGCCCCGGGGGACCGGGGAGAAUCGGGAAGCCGGUGAAAGUCCGGCACGGGCCCGCCGCGGUAACCGGGAAGUCGCCGUCCAUGCGCGUCGCGCAGCCACUGGGCCCUCGGGUCCGGGAAGGCGGACGGCCGGCGUUGAUCCGGAAGUCCGAAGACCGGCCCCGCAUCGACGUCGCCC
This 198-nucleotide non-coding RNA is filed under the name Frankia sp. Lineage: Bacteria; Bacillati; Actinomycetota; Actinomycetes; Frankiales; Frankiaceae. The record is from RNAcentral. RNAcentral also lists the same sequence under 1 other name.